Molecule: small nuclear RNA, 109 nt
Organism: Tupaia belangeri (northern tree shrew)
Lineage: Eukaryota; Metazoa; Chordata; Mammalia; Scandentia; Tupaiidae
Source: Ensembl
GUGCUUGCUGUGGCAGCACGUAUCCUAAAAAUUGGAACAGACAUAGAGAAGGUUAGCAUGGCCUCUGCACACGGACAAUACACAACUCUGUGAAGAGUUCCAUAUUUGU